CUUUAGAGAAGACCAGGAAAUGAUGGAUACACGGAUCGUGUUCAAAUCAAUAGGCACGCAAUGACUCUAAAUAAUAAUGAUCACGCCACCAAACACACAUUCAAACUAAAGGAACCAGCCUGUUUGGAAAAUGUAACAAGUAGAAAGUACAGGUAUUUGUGUUCAAAAUGUAAGAAGUCAAAGUAAAAAGUUGUCAGAAAAAUAAAUAGUGGAGUAAAGUACUGAUACCAGAAACAUGUAAGUACAGUAACGAAGUCCACUACUUCCCACCUCUGUCCAGACGUCACUUUCAGGCCUUUUUUUAAAGGAAAUGUAUCAGUUCACGUUACGAGCAAGUGGAUAUAAUGCCUACUGUUUGUUUAAAAUCACCUGAAGGGAAGCUGCUGUUGUUUAAAACCGUCGAGGGACAGGUGGCGUAGGGUCUAUUUUGUUUGUUUAUAUCCAGGAUCAACAGGGUUUUUGAAGUCAAUCUCUGUCUCAGCGUCACUGCCAUUUUACUGAAAUUGUGAGAGACUUGAAACAGGCUGUUGUUGUUGUUGUGUUAUGGAUUCUUAUUGUUAUUGUUGCUCAUGUGAACCGUGAGCGUUUUCAGGGAUGUACAGACCGUAAGCCACUAUUUUUUGAUGCACCUUGGCUUAUACGUGCUGAAUGCUUACGUCACCUUUUUAUGCUACUUUGUGAUUUAUGAAAUAUUGUUUGUAACAUUCCCUGGACUGUGUGAAUUGUCCUGAUAUCUCAAGAUAUGUUCUGAGGUUUGUUUACUUCCUGUGGGAAGACUGUUUCUCUGUGAUUAUUGUCCUGUGUUUUGCAUCACUCUGCUGCCCCCUGCUGGUGAAAUCACUCACAUUACAGCCCUUUCUAGUGGCUGCUGUGUUCAAGUCUCACAAUGAAAGGGAAAGAAAAGUAAUUAUGGAACUUAAAACUCCCAAUUUAGCAUUCACAAGCAGUAUAUAAGCAUUUAAUAAGUUGAAUGGAGGCUUGUGUAACAAGUCCUUACUUUUCUUAUAGUUGAGAAGUGAAAGAACUUGAGUGGCUUCUUGUUUCUUCUCAGUUUAGUUUUUCAUUUACUGAACCCAAAUGAUAAUGAUUUUCAGCACUAUUGUGGUUUAAAGCUGAAAUGGGCACUCAUAUAUCAGGUCAUUCUGAAGUUCAGUUUCAAAAUAAAAGACCUUUGAAAUCUCA
Molecule: long non-coding RNA, 1182 nt
Organism: Trematomus bernacchii (emerald rockcod)
Lineage: Eukaryota; Metazoa; Chordata; Actinopteri; Perciformes; Nototheniidae
Exons: 2
Source: RefSeq, a predicted model, not a curated record